GUGGGGAAUAUUCCGCAAUGGACGAAAGUCUGACGGAGCAACGCCGCGUGAGUGAUGAAGGUUUUCGGACUGUAAAGCUCUGUUGUUUAGGACGAAAGUGCCUGUUGCAAAUAGUUACAGGUAUUGACGGUACUGAACGAGGAAGCCACGGCUAACUACGUGCCAGCAGCCGCGGUAAUACGUAGGUGGCAAGCGUUGUCCGGAAUUAUUGGGCGUAAAGAGCAUGUAGGCGGGAAUCUAAGUCUGUUGUGAAAAUGCGGGGCUCAACCCCGUAUUGCGAUGGAAACUGGGUUGCUUGAGUGCAGGAGAGGAAAGGGGAAUUCCCAGUGUAGCGGUGAAAUGCGUAGAUAUUGGGAGGAACACCAGUGGCGAAGGCGCCUUUCUGGACUGUGUCUGACGCUGAGAUGCGAAAGCCAGGGUAGCGAACGGGAUUAGAAACCCGGGUAGUCC
RNAcentral lists this ribosomal RNA (450 nucleotides) under uncultured bacterium. RNAcentral describes it as "partial 16S ribosomal RNA". It matches the Rfam family "Bacterial small subunit ribosomal RNA", at positions 354 to 796 of the family's 1533-position model. The record is from RNAcentral.